RNAcentral lists this transfer RNA (90 nucleotides) under Devosia sp. Its description in RNAcentral is "tRNA-Ser". It matches the Rfam family "tRNA". From Rfam's summary of the family: Transfer RNA (tRNA) molecules are approximately 80 nucleotides in length. Their secondary structure includes four short double-helical elements and three loops (D, anti-codon, and T loops). The record is from RNAcentral. Lineage: Bacteria; Pseudomonadati; Pseudomonadota; Alphaproteobacteria; Hyphomicrobiales; Devosiaceae.
GGAGAGGUGGCAGAGUGGUCGAUUGCACCGCACUCGAAAUGCGGCGUGGGGGCAACUCCACCGGGGGUUCGAAUCCCUCCCUCUCCGCCA